RNAcentral lists this ribosomal RNA (275 nucleotides) under uncultured bacterium. RNAcentral describes it as "partial 16S ribosomal RNA". It matches the Rfam family "Bacterial small subunit ribosomal RNA", at positions 523 to 796 of the family's 1533-position model. The record is from RNAcentral.
AUACCGAGGUGGCAAGCGUUGUUCGGAAUUAUUGGGCGUAAAGAGCACGUAGGUGAAUUUGUUAGUCAGAUGUGAAAGCCUUUUGUUCAACGGAAGAAUUGCAUCUGAAACUACAAACCUUGAGUAUAGGAGGGGAGAGUGGAACUUCUGGUGGAGCGGUGAAAUGCGUAGAUAUCAGAAGGAACGCCGGCGGCGAAAGCGACUCUCUGGCCUAUAACUGACACUGAGUGUGCGAAAGCUAGGGGAGCAAACGGGAUUAGAUACCAGAGUAGUCC